GAUGAGCGCUGGCGGCGUGCUUAACACAUGCAAGUCGAACGGAAAGGCCCAAGCUUGCUUGGGUACUCGAGUGGCGAACGGGUGAGUAACACGUGGGUGAUCUGCCCUGCACUUCGGGAUAAGCCUGGGAAACUGGGUCUAAUACCGGAUAGGACGAUGGUUUGGAUGCCAUUGUGGAAAGUUUUUUCGGUGUGGGAUGAGCUCGCGGCCUAUCAGCUUGUUGGUGGGGUAAUGGCCUACCAAGGCGUCGACGGGUAGCCGGCCUGAGAGGGUGUACGGCCACAUUGGGACUGAGAUACGGCCCAGACUCCUACGGGAGGCAGCAGUGGGGAAUAUUGCACAAUGGGCGCAAGCCUGAUGCAGCGACGCCGCGUGGGGGAUGACGGCCUUCGGGUUGUAAACUCCUUUCGCUAGGGACGAAGCGUUUUUGUGACGGUACCUGGAGAUGAAGCACCGGCUAACUACGUG
RNAcentral lists this ribosomal RNA (468 nucleotides) under uncultured bacterium. Its description in RNAcentral is "partial 16S ribosomal RNA". It matches the Rfam family "Bacterial small subunit ribosomal RNA", at positions 28 to 507 of the family's 1533-position model. The record is from RNAcentral.